RNAcentral lists this unclassified non-coding RNA (358 nucleotides) under uncultured Psathyrellaceae. RNAcentral's name for it is "sequence contains ITS1". The stretch from base 1 to 105 matches the Rfam family "5.8S ribosomal RNA", at positions 50 to 154 of the family's 154-position model. Lineage: Eukaryota; Fungi; Basidiomycota; Agaricomycetes; Agaricales; Psathyrellaceae. The record is from RNAcentral.
GAAAUGCGAUAAGUAAUGUGAAUUGCAGAAUUCAGUGAAUCAUCGAAUCUUUGAACGCACCUUGCGCUCCUUGGUAUUCCGAGGAGCAUGCCUGUUUGAGUGUCAUUAAAUUCUCAACCUCACCAACUUUGUGAUGAAGCUGUGUGUAGGCUUGGAUUUGGAGGCGUGCAGGUCCACAUUUAGUGGUCUGCUCCUCUGAAAUGUAUUAGUGGGUUAGGCUCCCCUAAACUAUUGGUGUGAUAAUUAUCUACGCCUUGGAUUUGGGAUGGCUACAUUUAGACCCGCUUCUAACUGUCCUCAUGGGACAACAUUUGACAAUUUUGACCUCAAAUCAGGUAAGACUACCCGCUGAACUUAA